Long non-coding RNA from Galeopterus variegatus (Sunda flying lemur), 433 nucleotides. RefSeq lists it as uncharacterized. The record is from RefSeq and is a predicted model, not a curated record. The transcript has 2 exons. NCBI's taxonomy places the organism in Eukaryota, Metazoa, Chordata, Mammalia, Dermoptera, Cynocephalidae.
CUGCCCGUAGUUGCGCGGGCAGAGCACGCGGUACAGGCAGAGCAGCAGGAGCACGAGGACGAUGCCCGCGGCCAGGCCCAGCGCCGCCACCCUGCGGAAGGGCAGGGGCGAGGACUCAGCUCAACCUGCCACACUCAAAUGACGGCCCUCUCCUGUAGCUCCCGGCAUGGGGGAUGAACACGGAAGCAGGUCCCGCCCCAAGCCAGCUCCAGCACAUCAAUCUUGCUCCCUUACACACACCAGCACCCAAGCAGCCAUCAUGGCUGUGCAGCUGUCUCAGAGUGGGUGGACCUCAUUCUGCUGGCAGCUACCUGUGACUCCUCAGAGCAAGGACCCAGCACCUCUCUCCAGCUGUGGCUGCUUGGAGCACCAGUUCCUACCUCAUCACCUUAUGAAUAGUUUUAAUUACUUGAAAUAAAAUGUAGAAUUCAAA